CCUACGGGAGGCAGCAGUGGGGGAUAUUGCACAAUGGGGGAAACCCUGAUGCAGCGACGCCGCUUGUGGGAAGACGGUCCUCUGGAUUGUAAACCACUGUCCCCAGGGACGAAGAUGACGGUACCUGGGGAGGAAGCUCCGGCUAACUACGUGCCAGCAGCCGCGGGAAUACGUAGGGAGCGAGCGUUGUCCGGAAUUACUGGGUGUAAAGGGAGCGUAGGCGGGACUGCAAGUUGGGUGUCAAAUCUACCGGCUCAACCGGUAGCCGCACUCAAAACUGCAGUUCUUGAGUGAAGGAGAGGCAGGCGGAAUUCCUAGUGUAGCGGUGAAAUGCGUAGAUAUUAGGAGGAACACCAGUGGAGAGGGCGGCCUGCUGGGCUUUUACUGACGCUGAGGCUCGAAAGUGUGGGGAGCAAACAGGAUUAGAUACCCCUGUAGUC
This 440-nucleotide ribosomal RNA is filed under the name uncultured bacterium. RNAcentral's name for it is "partial 16S ribosomal RNA". It matches the Rfam family "Bacterial small subunit ribosomal RNA", at positions 338 to 795 of the family's 1533-position model. The record is from RNAcentral.